This 497-nucleotide ribosomal RNA is filed under the name uncultured bacterium. Its description in RNAcentral is "partial 16S ribosomal RNA". It matches the Rfam family "Bacterial small subunit ribosomal RNA", at positions 28 to 507 of the family's 1533-position model. The record is from RNAcentral.
GAUGAACGCUGGCGGCGUGCCUAAUACAUGCAAGUCGAGCGAACAGACGAGGAGCUUGCUCCUCUGACGUUAGCGGCGGACGGGUGAGUAACACGUGGAUAACCUACCUAUAAGACUGGGAUAACUUCGGGAAACCGGAGCUAAUACCGGAUAAUAUAUUGAACCGCAUGGUUCAAUAGUGAAAGACGGUUUUGCUGUCACUUAUAGAUGGAUCCGCGCCGCAUUAGCUAGUUGGUAAGGUAACGGCUUACCAAGGCAACGAUGCGUAGCCGACCUGAGAGGGUGAUCGGCCACACGGGAACUGAGACACGGUCCAGACUCCUACGGGAGGCAGCAGUAGGGAAUCUUCCGCAAUGGGCGAAAGCGUGACGGAGCAACGCCGCGUGAGUGAUGAAGGUCUUCGGAUCGUAAAACUCUGUUAUUAGGGAAGAACAAAUGUGUAAGUAACUAUGCACGUCUUGACGGUACCUAAUCAGAAAGCCACGGCUAACUACGUG